This 77-nucleotide transfer RNA is filed under the name Bacteroidetes bacterium MED-G20. Its description in RNAcentral is "tRNA-Arg". It matches the Rfam family "tRNA". Rfam says of the family: Transfer RNA (tRNA) molecules are approximately 80 nucleotides in length. Their secondary structure includes four short double-helical elements and three loops (D, anti-codon, and T loops). Further hydrogen bonds mediate the characteristic L-shaped molecular structure. tRNAs have two regions of fundamental functional importance: the anti-codon, which is responsible for specific mRNA codon recognition, and the 3' end, to which the tRNAs corresponding amino acid is attached (by aminoacyl-tRNA synthetases). tRNAs cope with the degeneracy of the genetic code in two manners: having more than one tRNA (with a specific anti-codon) for a particular amino acid; and 'wobble' base-pairing, i.e. permitting non-standard base-pairing at the 3rd anti-codon position. Lineage: Bacteria; Pseudomonadati; Bacteroidota. The record is from RNAcentral.
GGCUCCGUAGUUCAACUGGAUAGAAUAUCAGAUUUCGGCUCUGAGGGUUGAGGGUUCGAAUCCUUCCGGGGUCACAA